This 427-nucleotide long non-coding RNA is filed under the name Salmo salar (Atlantic salmon). RNAcentral's name for it is "lncRNA (ENSSSAG00000089157.1)". The record is from RNAcentral. Lineage: Eukaryota; Metazoa; Chordata; Actinopteri; Salmoniformes; Salmonidae.
GGAGGUUUUUAUUCUAGACAUGAGGAUAUUUCAACGUCUAUAUGAUAAAAGGCUAUAAUGAUCAUGUGUGCUGGCUGCCAAAUGUACAGGUGUCCCCGUAGGAAUAAUAUUUCAAUUGUUCGUUGGACCUCCCUCCUAAUGAGAAGGUCCUCAUCCUGCUGGUGUGAGCUGCUGGACAGCCUAGUAAAGGUCAGAUGGUUUCCUAAUGAGAAGGUCCUCAUCCUGCUGGUGUGAGCUGCUGGACAGCCUAGUAAAGGUCAGAUGGUCUCCUAAUGAGAAGGCCCUCAUCCUGCUGGUGUGAGCUGCUGGACAGCCUAGUAAAGGUCAGAUGGUUUCCUAAUGAAGAGGCCCUCAUCCUGCUGGUGUGAGCUGCUGGACAGCCUAGUAAAGGUCAGAUGGUCUCCUAAUGAGAAGGCCCUCAUCCUGC